RNAcentral lists this microRNA precursor (68 nucleotides) under Nannospalax galili (Upper Galilee mountains blind mole rat). Its description in RNAcentral is "miRNA (ENSNGAG00000006623.1)". The record is from RNAcentral. Lineage: Eukaryota; Metazoa; Chordata; Mammalia; Rodentia; Spalacidae.
CUGGCCUGGAAUUCACUGUAUAACCCAGGCUAGCCUCUUACUCAUGGCAGUCCUCCUGCCUCAGCCUC